GAGACCUUAAUUUAAUAGGAAAAAUAUGUGACUUUUAAUCAUUAGUACGUAGGUUCGAGUCCUGCAGGUCUUA
This 73-nucleotide transfer RNA is filed under the name Opegrapha vulgata. RNAcentral's name for it is "tRNA-Lys". It matches the Rfam family "tRNA". From Rfam's summary of the family: Transfer RNA (tRNA) molecules are approximately 80 nucleotides in length. Their secondary structure includes four short double-helical elements and three loops (D, anti-codon, and T loops). The record is from RNAcentral. Lineage: Eukaryota; Fungi; Ascomycota; Arthoniomycetes; Arthoniales; Opegraphaceae.